RNAcentral lists this ribosomal RNA (253 nucleotides) under uncultured bacterium. RNAcentral describes it as "partial 16S ribosomal RNA". It matches the Rfam family "Bacterial small subunit ribosomal RNA", at positions 524 to 776 of the family's 1533-position model. The record is from RNAcentral.
UACAGAGGGUGCGAGCGUUAAUCGGAAUUACUGGGCGUAAAGCGUGCGUAGACGGUUAUCUAAGUCGGAUGUGAAAGCCCCGGGCUCAACCUGGGAAUUGCAUUCGAGACUGAAUAGCUAGGGUACGGUAGAGGGAAGUGGAAUUUCCGGUGUAGCGGUGAAAUGCGUAGAUAUCGGAAGGAACAUCAGUGGCGAAAGCGACUUCCUGGACCAAUACCGACGUUCAGGCACGAAAGCGUGGGGAGCAAACAGG